GUUUGAAAGGUCACAUGAUGUUCCCAGUGACUUGUAGGGAACGGUGAUGCUGUCUACAGUACACUCACCCAUCUCCCUUGCCUGCCGUUUUUGAUGAUUUGAAGGGAAGGGGGAUCCUAAUGUGAUCUGCAUCUCUUUAUGUUAAUGAAAUGGUGCCAGCCCAUUUUCCCAGACAAUACCGGAAAGCAUAAACACCAAAUGGGGAACAAAUAGGGCCGUGAUGCCACUGUGAAACAAUCAACCCUGACACACCUACGACAGACCACAUCCCCUCUUUCGUUCGUUCUUUAAUGUCCCUAGGUGAAUCUGAUUAAACACAUACACACACAUGCACGCACACGUGUAAAUGCAUACAGGAUCUCAGAAGCUCCAGAAGGCUGUAAAACAUUAAAUUCUCUUGAUUUAUGGAGCAGCCUGCACUGCAUUGAGCAAAACAGCAUGGCAAUCUGGGGCCCCGCUCCCAGAAAUUCCUUUAUGAACAUGACCAGCCCCCGCAAGUGAACAAAAGCAGUGGUGCAGGGUGUAUAAAUCAUUAAUACGGUGCCCGGCAGUGACUGCAUUUCCUGUGUUAGUUGGAGAGCUCCUCAGCACAAUGGGGAUUUGGGGAUUGGAAUUGGCUGCGGAGAAAUGCACUCCAUCAUCCUCGGAGCAGAUAUGCUUCCCAUCAGCCUUGCUCUCUUUCUCUUCCCCACCCUCCCCAAGUCUGACAGCCUCACACUGUGUUGUAAUUUAUUCAACAGUAAUCAUAAUGACUUAAAAAUAAAAUCACGAGAAAGCUUCAAAGUUGAAAGCUCUCCCCACUGACUCCCUUUCUGACAAGUUUUGCCUUUGAAAGAAAAGAGAAAUGAGGACUCUUGGUUGAGAGGAGCUGUUUUUCCAUAAUGAUGGGCUAGCAGGGGCCUGGGCGAAUCUUGCAGAACCAGCAGUCUGAAUGGGACAGCAGAGUGUGGGUUCUGGAGCAGGGCAGUCUGGUUUCCCAUAUCGCCUCUUCCUCGUACCUGACUCAGAUCCUCAUCGAGAAAAACGAAACGAGUCCUCUCAACUCCCUGGAGACCUUUUGUGAGGGAUUAAAUGAGGUAAUCCAUGUGAAAGUGCUUCGUAGUGUGCUUGUCAUAUAGCACUCUAUAAAAGUUAUUGAUUGUUUCAUUAUUUUAAUUAUUUUAUUAUUAUCAUCAUCGUUGCUGAGGCUGGCUGGAUUCUCAGGCUACCUAAGGGAUCUUACAAGAGGCAUCUCCUACUGUUUACAGAACAGACUCACUUUUUGAAUGGAACCAAAAGGAGGCUAAAAAAAAAAGAAGAAAAGAAAGAGAAAAAGAGUUCUCAAGAAUCCUGAGUCACAUGCUCUGAAUGGAGACCCCCAGUGGAAAGUCACGCCAUUGCACCAUGAAGAAGGAAUUUCUCUACUCCUGUUUUAACUGUUUAUUGCAAACAGAAAAAAAAAAAAAAAAAGAGGGGGUGGGGGAGGAAAGCAAUAAAGCAAGCAGAAAAAAUUCCAUAGUUUUGUGCAGAUUAUUUGGAUGAGAGCAUCUGUCAGCUGAUUUAAGUACAGACAAUACAUGGAUUCAAAGCAAACUCAUUUGCAGGAGGGCUUCUGUGUUUCCAGAAAUUCAGAAGUGGCCCAGAUGAAGAGAGAUGUGAAACUAGGAGAGCCACUCCUUAUUCUUUUGCUUCAGGAUAAAGAGAACAAAUGAUCAAGCAGCAGCGGGACACAUGCUCCCUCUCAUAGGACAGAACCAAGAUCUGAAAAUGCGUGUGUCAGUCGGACAGUCCAUCCUCAAACUAGGGCAUUUGCCCAGGCACCAGUGCCAAGCACUUAAGCACCACCAGGCCCCAGAAAAAUUCCCCUGGACUCUCCCAGGUGACAAUCCACACAUUAGCAGGCACCUGCCAUGUUCAAGUUUGUGGGAAUAUACUUCAACGUGUGGCCCAGUCCCCUGUAUCACAGAAUAAUGACAUUCUGAAUAGAAAUAAAUGAAGCCCCUGCAGUGUGAUUCUGUCAGCUUUUGAAAAUAAAUAACUUUGCUACUGACAAGAGCAAGACAAUUUUUAUUUUCCCUCCUCCUGUCACAGGGCAUUAAUUGAGAUGUGCAGCCACAUUACAACCAACACCGCCAGCAGGACUGACAGUUGACAGGAGAGAAACACAGAAGAGGUAGAAGAAGCCAAGGAACCUGGGAGAGACACCCAUGUGCCUUGGGUCUGUGUCCUUGGCAGACCCUGGGGCAUAUACCGCAUUGAUUUGGGGGAGAUAAAACAUCAUGUUCAGCUUCAGUAAACAGGUGCAGCCUUUCUUUAACAUAAGCAUUUACUCAUUCAUUCUUUCAUUCAUUCUUUCACUUCUUUAAUAAAAGACUAUUGGCUGCUCAUCACGUACCAGGCACUGUUAAGUGUUUCCAUCUGGAUCUUACAAAGGUAUGUACAAAUCUUACAAAGAACAGUUAUAAAAUGGUUGUUCUUAACCCCAUUUUCCCAAAGAAGCAAUUAAAGCUCUGAAUCAAGUAAAGUCACUUUUGCUCGAUCUAGUUGGGUCAGCUAAUCAAAUAACAGAGUUUGGAUUAAGCCUUUAGUUCAUGACUUCUGUCCUACAUAGGACUCCAGAGAUAGCAAUAUUUUGUUAAACUAUGCUUUGUGGGUGGGGGAAGCUGACACCACCUGGUUCUAAAAUGACAUAGGUUUUUCACCUGAAUCUUGUAAGAUCCUGGAGAUGGACAGUUGACUACUGCAAAGUGUGGACCUCACUGCUCAUUCCAUUUUUAAAUAUCAGUAUUGUUCACUGUUGAUGAAAGACUCAUGGGGAAGGGGGAAAUCUCCCAGCUCUCAGCCUUGCAUCAGAGAAAAGCUCGCCUCAUGCCUGGAUUCAGGCAGAGCAGUAGCAAUCAGAACGACCGAAGAGAAGAGUGAGAUAUUUGCUGUUGCUUUGAUAAGGGGGCCCUAGUCCUCGAGGUGAAGCCUGGGCAAACAUCAAACGCCAAAAAAGAAAAGUCUCAUUAAGAUGAAACCUUUUGUGCAUUUACUCAUCAGGACUGGGAAAUCUGAGGCACUUAAAUCCUAUGGCUGCCUGUACUUUGUUCCAUAGCUGCAAUGGAGAAAAAAAAAAAGUCAUUACAUCUCUCUGGGAACACACACUAACCUUCUGAAUGCUUUCCAGUCUGGCUCCAAUUCCUAAUUUUGAUUCUGUGUGUGUUUAAACACAACAUAAAGAACAGAAGCAAAACGGCGACAGACUGUUCCUCACCUAGAGCCUGGUCCUGUGUUAGAAACCACAGCACCGCACACCGCCACCCCAGCCCCAUUUUCUCCAAGCCCCUGCACGCUGUAGGUGUUGGAUAUAUGCCUGCUUUUCUUUGCUGUGUACUCUGACUGCUGCUCUGCCAGACGGGAGGAAGGUGAUGCAAAGCAGAUAACUAGAGUCUUCCUCUUUGCAAAAUGGGUCAGGGGAGAAAUGAAGGAUUCUGUGCCAGACAUGAACAGGGAUUCCUGGGAAAUUCAACAGACCCGGCCGAUAUAUUCCAAGGUGUGGUGCUGCACUGACGUCUCACAAGACGGCACAAGGAUGAACAAUUUAAUAGACCCUCCAUGAGGAUGGAGGCCAUUGCUUACUGAGAAAGUCUGGAAGAGCAGCUGGCACCUAACAGUUCAAUAAACAUGGAAUGAAUGAAUGAAUGAAUAUGUGAAUGAAUAUUUGAAUGUAUCUUAGAAAAAAUAUCACAGCUGGGAUUCUGUGACUACUUUGUUUUGAGCAAAUCUACUUUUAAGUUCAAAGUAUAAGUUGAUUCUAAAACUAUUUGGUAGAUAUCAACUGUGAUGAUGAGUGAAUUAGUAAAAAUUAGUAAUUAGAAAGGGGAUGCCUGAAUGCCUGAACUUUCAGAAUCAGUGGACCCCAUUCAUUGCUUUCAAAGUACAAGCCCAUUGUCUAAGUACCUUGAUGAGGUUUUAAAAGAAGACAUCACCCAGACUCUUGAUGUUCCACAUUAACGUCUUUCUUAAGGCUCCCAUUAAAGCCCUUUCACUACCUCUGAUCCUGGAACCUAUUUCCAAAAGCCCCUGAGUGUCUCAAGAAUUCAGGAGUGGUCUUCUCUCAUUUGAUCAAGGAGCAUUCAUUUCCAUCAUUUCAUGUCUCCAGUAUGGUCCCAGAGGACAACAGAAACUACUGCAGAGACUACCACUUGCCGCGUGACCCGAUUCUACCACUUACAGUGUCCUUAUGCUCUUGGCAGCAUGCACUCUCUUUUGCAGUCAAAGCAGGUGAACUUCCCUUCCCCACUCUUAGAACACCUUUCUCAACUCUUCACAUGCCUAAUGCUCCCUUUUUCCUCAGAUCAGGAAGAUCAUUGCCUCCUUAGUGAGACCCAAGCUGACCCACCUGUCAGAUAAACCCCGACAAACAACAAGAGUCCACUAAUCCUUCGUCCCAUCACCCUGUUUAUUGCCUGAACAGCACUCUCUCAAAUCUGAAAAUACAUUCUCAAUUCACAUUUGCAUCAUCUAUGCUUUUUUUUUUUUACUGGAAUGCCAUCUCCAUGGUGGCAAGGACCUUUCCUAAUUGAUUUGGUGCAAUAUUCUCAAUGCAUAGAAACAAUUUUUUUGCAUGGCCAAGUGAAAGAAAAAAUAAAUGAGUGAAUAUGUUGUCAUAUAAGUCUAUAAAAUGGGUAGCAAUCACUGCCUCCCCUUGCUUCUAAGGUUCUAGAAAGUCCAAAUGCACUCAUUCAUUCACUCAUGCCUUAAAUUUUUUUGAACAACUACUACAUAUUAGACUUUAUUCUAGGAAUUGUGGGCAGAGUAAGGGACAGAAAUAAAAAGCCUCUGCCACCUUAUAGUCUAGCAGGUCAGAAAAGGCACAGAGAAAGUGCUCUGUGAACUGUCUGGUGAAGAAAUGCAAAUUCUUCACCAGAGAGGGAUCAGGAGUGAGAACCCAGGCAGUGGAAAGCAGUCGUUCUGCUCUUUUUCAGCCAGGACCAAUCAAUCCGGGCCACGGUGUGCCAGGAUCAGAAACAGCAUCAAGAUCCCCUUUUCCUAAAUGUUUUCUGUUGCCUGAAUGUUCCAACCAUAUAAGCUUUUUCCUAACCCCAACCUGGGGUUGCAGUGGAGGAGUCCUUCAGAAAGUCUCCUCUGCAACAGUCUCUUCUCUGUGGGAGCGGCCUGCAGGUUCGCUGCUCAUUUCCCCAGCUCGCUUGCACUCAGCAUGGUUGAAAGGCCAAGGCCAGGGCCCUCCUGAGCUAUUGUGCCUGAGAGCUGACCUUAUUUGACACAGCCCCUCUCAAUGGGACAAGCCACAUCAUGCAGACAGCCACAGGCCAAGAGGCAGCCCUGCAAAGUUCUCUUGAGCAGCUCCCGGAAAUAAGAAACUUUAUUGAUGAAUGGAACUUUGUUGGCUUUUCUUAAUUGAAUUAAACAGCACACUGGGACACCUCUCCCGUCCAUUAGGAAGGUCUCUGCAGAUGGGGCAAUUACGCCCACACUUUGUCAGCUCUGCCUCAUUCACAGGAUGACAUCUCCCACAUCUCCCAGCCCCCCUGAGGCACAAAUGCACCAACCUGAUUUUGUUUACAAUGCUGCAAUCUCUUUCUCUUCCAAAAGACUAUUAUUUGCCUGACAAACUACACUGUUUUUACCCGGCCAAUAUGAAUAAACAAGCAUUAUGUUUUUUCUCUUGGGGCAGAGAGCCUGGUUAAAUGAAUCAGAAAACCCUAAAAAAGAUUGUCUACCCUCAGUCCAUCAGCUACUGGACAAUUACUCAAGGGCCAGCUGUAAGGAAAACAGAUGGCGCGUGAGCACUAAGAACAUGGGCUGUCUCUGCUGGGCAGAGGCAGGAGCGGCCGUUGUAGGUUCGGACACAGAAACCGCCUGAAAUGGCAGGUAGAGCUGCUGGCUGGGACAGGACUCAGUCCGUGGACUAACGGAUGUUUAAUGUGAAAUAAUCCUAAGGCACAGGCACACUGAGUGACCCUGCAGGCAAUACCCACUCCCUUCCACAGGUUCCUGAAAUGGGAGAAACGGGGAACCCCAGCCCAGCCGAGAUAGGGGCCUUAUCUGGCCAAGAGGAGCCCAGCAUGUCAUGCCUUCUCCCCUGAAUUGGAAAAAUGAGAGCCACCAGGAUGAUUGAUUAAUGAACCAGUUCAUAACAGGGUCUCUCCAGGAGGAAACCGAGGGAACCAUGUUGUACCCGACAGUCGCUCAGGCCUAGGAAUGUGCUUAUUCCGGCCACUUACAUUCCUUAAACAAUUCAGACAUGAAGAUAAUCUAUUCUAAUUCUUUUCUGCAUUAUUGACACUAUUGACUACCCCCAAUCCACAGCACGAUCUAAUAAAUCAACAUGAGAUUAAGCCAAGAAGAAAGAAGGUGAUAAAAUGCCAUUUGGUACCCUAUAAAUCAUCAGGCUGAGCAGCACAAGGUAAGUAACUGGAAUGAGAAUUGAACUUGUCUACGCAGCCAUGAUUGUUAUGGUCUACCGAACGUCCCCAAAUUUAUAACCGCGGCAGGUGCAAGGGGUGACCCCCUCCCUCCUACAACCUUCGUGUGAGAGCCCAUCUUCCCAGUGACUCUGUACUGAGCACCGCUUUCUAAUUAAAGACAGAGAGGGUUGAUAUGCAGGUUUCAGUUCAAUUGCUUUCGAUCUGAAGAUGUCCACAGUGAGCAAUGGCUUCAUUUACCAGGAAUUACCCUUUGUACAAACCACUUCACUAUUUAAAACAAACCACAUGGAUCAUCAUUAAGUGGGAAAAAUUACCAAUCUUCAGAUAUCGACAGUGGCAUGGCCCACUUUGGAGGCCCCUUUCCCCCUCUGUUUAAUGUGGAUUUUAAGCAUUUCACCUGUUUUUAAAUUCAGGCUGAUAAAAGUGUUCUGGGUGAACAGGAUCAGACAGAUGAGACACUUUCUGAGAAGCAUACUGGGAGACCAGGAUAGGGGUUCAGGAACAGGGAAAAUUAAAUUCAUAUGCUAGUUAUGCUUUUUCAUGGGGUUGGAAGUCAGUGUGAACCGUAGCUCUCGAGGCAGCCCAGCACGAUGUGAGCAUCGCAGAACAAACCUCAUCUGCUCUGUCCUUGGCCUCGCCAUGCAUUCCACGUGAUGGAUGCUCUUUGCUGUGCUCCCCGUGACUACUCAGAAUGUGUAUCCUGCAUGUCUAAUUUUUGUGUUGUAUGUGUGUGGUUGUUUUCUAUUUUUCUCUGUGAGGAAAACAAAACAUAUUCUCUUUUGAAUCCACUCUUCACAAAGCCUCAAAUUUGGAAUUUGUAUUCAGAAUUUUCCCUCAAAACAAAAAAUGUUUACAUGAGUACUCACUUUGAAACUCUGGGGAGAUUCUGUAUUGGGUAUCUAUGUGAGUUUGAAGUUCACCUGAGAAAAAGAUUCACCAGCAAAGAAGGCACAAUAAAACCUCUGCAGUGUGCUAGGAAUGGAAACUGAAGCAGAGACUUUCCCAGGACAGCAAGAUUAAAACCGGCUGCUCUGGUGGCUUGCCUGUCCCAUCCGAGAAUGCUCUACAAGACACACACUAUACACUAGAGGGACAUAGGUGUGUGUACUCAUACAUGUGUACAUCAUUGCACUUGGUACCGCAGUGCCAAGAGGACUGUGCAACACUAUACCACCUUGCAACUCCAAACUGUAGUAACAUCUCCAAUGUUAAAAGAAAGAAGAAAGAGAAAAUUAAAAAAUAUAUAUAUAUAUAACCAUAGUAAAAUGCCUACCAAAGGUAGAGUUACCGGGAUAUAAAUAAAUGAAAUGGAUUAUCCUAAACAAUUUAAACACCCAAGUUGGGCUGAAUAAAUAAGUUCUUUGUGGCAAAAGGGUUAUAUUGUUCUCAUGUGGUCAUUCAGAGGAGACUUGGAUGCUGAGGUAUCCCAACUGAUUUUUAUUUUUUAUGAGUUGUCUUAGGAACAAAUAUGGGAGACUUUAGGAAGAACGGUUGGAUGUCAGGAGUGAGGCAAAGAAAGCAAAUGAUGAAGUAAUUUUCCUUUGAUAUUGGAUGAAAAAUAAGUACCAUAUGAAACUUCAUUCCAGGAAAUCAUAUUUCACUGAAGAUUCUGUGGCCCCUAAUGAGAGCUAGCAAUUUUACAAAACAAAACAAUAAAGGCUCCAAAAUAAGAUACUUGGUCUUAAUUAUUCUCUUAUGUAAUUGGUGAUCUGAGUGAGAAACAUCCCUGAAAUAUGUUUAUUCAUAAAUAAUAAUACAAUAAAAGGUUUUCAAUACAGAUAUUAUUUAUCAUAGAUGCAGCUUGAUUUUAUCAACUUUGUGAGUAUAGAUCAUCACAAUUAAAUAGAGAUACAAUAAUAGCUAAAGAUUCAUAGUAGAUAGAAAAUACAGUGGCCAUGUAUAGAUAGAAGAUGUAUAGAUUGUAUCCGUAAGUGGUUGUGGUAAUUGAAGCGAACUGUUUCUCACCCUUAAUCAGCCAGUUGUCUGGGCUGCCAAAUAAAAGCUACGACAUGAGACUUCUAUACAAACUGUGAUGACAGCAGUGACUGGAAGGGAUGACCUAAAGGUAUGGCUCUCCAAUCCUGAAAGUGCACCUUUAGGAAUGGUGGGAGGUGCCGAUAGAAAACCUGACUCUCAAUGAGGCAGGCAAAAAUAAAUGUCCGCUUGCACUGUACUUCAGGCAUUUAGUGAAACUCAGAAAACAUACAUGCAUUCACACACACACUCCCCACAUUCUGACAUUGUGUCAUAGCAUCAGCUCAUCACCAGUUCCACUCAAAGCACUCCAUGCUCUUUUGAGAAGGAGGUGUGUGCCAUAGCACAUUUCAAAACCCACCUCUGUCUGUCUUCUUAUGGGACCGUGAUGCUGAUUUAGUCACUCCUAAAUAUUUGCCACGGCUGUCAACAUUCCCUUCGAGCCUCCCCUUUCCCAAGCAGGAGUCUUGGAAGAGACUGCCAGACAGAUGCUGAGAACCCCUGCGUUUAUCCUAUAUACUUGUCCUUUUCAUGGCAAGAAUAGCCUCCCACUCAAAGUCACUCUCCUCCUUCCUAAGUUGUGCCUGCAUGGGCAAACCAAUUUAACAAUCUAGAAGGAAGAAAGACCAAUUUAUUAAAAAAGAAUAAUGCACAAAGAGACUGUGAGAACACUGAAUGGCUAGAGCAUUCUACUUGUUAGGCAAUGCUGUUCAAAUUGAUUAAUAAAUACUAUGAAAGAAGUGAAUGUAGGAGGCAAAAGAUCAACUCAUAUUAAUAAUUAGAUUAAAUUCAACUAAGGCUGAGCAUCUGUAGAAAUGCUCAUUAGAAUACUGGUAACUGGUGUUAAACACACACACACACAGUGAAGACACAGAAAUGGAAGAAGCAGAUGAAAUGUUUCCUGGCACAAUUUACUUAAAGAGAAAUGGAAUAAAAUAAUAUUUAAAAGGAUAAACCAAUUUCUUCCCAAGAUAUUAAAAUGAUAUAAAAAGGCUGUUCUCAAAAAGACUUGCAAUAGAAAAUAUACCUAAAAAAUAUUUUCUGGAGGCAACCAACUUGAUCACAAAUUACCCAGGUGUUCAAAACAGAAUCUUGACAUUUUAUAAUCCAUAUAUUCCUAUAACAGACUGACAUGGAGAGUCUUUGGAGAGGAAACCCCCUGUCUGGACACUUAUGAAGGAACUUCAGUACACCACAACCACACAUAGUUGACAAAUGGUACUCUGGAAGGGAGUCCAUCAAAAAACCGGACAAAAUGACUGCAAUCACUGUUAACUCUUCCUCCAGCAGGAUGGGGCAGGGAAAAGGAUUCCCAUCUGUACAAAAAAAAUAUACUUCCAUCUCUGCCAGUUGCAUCCACAGCCCCUGCCCAGUGAGAGAAAACUGAGCUUGUCACCCCCUCCCUCUCAAGGCCACAUUGAGCUGUCCCCCAAACCCAGAAACCAACUUAAGCAGCAGCUCUACUAGUGAAGCAAAGAGAGACAGGCAAGGUCCACGGGAAACACCCAGAGAAAGAAACACAAUGAAAGAUUCUGAAAUGUACACAGAAUGGAAAACAAACACAAAAUCUCACAGCAAGACCAUUAAGGGAGAGUGGAGGAAGAAAAAAGAAUUUUAAAGCCUUUUACACGCAGUAACAAAGACAGCAUCCUAAACAGCUCGCCUUCAUCACAGCACUGCCAGGGAGUUUGGAGGCAGAUUCUGGGGCUGACUCGCUCCAGAAACCCAAGGGCUCUGAUUCCAAAAGCAACUGAAGAUAGCACCAUCCAGACAAACUUAAGAAAACAAAAAUACUGAGCACACACACACAUACAUAUAUGUUUUUUCACUCCCUAUUAAAGCUGCUGAAUUGAAACUGCAAGCACCAAAUGCCUCCAGAAAGAUCCAAACUCUUGGCAUCAGAGGGGGUAGACUCAGAUCACCACCGACGCACUGGCACGAGAAAGAUGCGAGUAAGGCGAAAGCAGUUUGCAAUUUCAACUCCUGUUACCCAAGCUUGGAAACAGGCUUUCAAAGUAUGCACAGAGGGGCACAGACUGCUGGGCGCGGGGUAGCUGGGGUCCAUGGAAAAUGAGGGGCUCCGACGCAGCCCGCCUGUCCAAAAGCACGAGCCCCCUCCCAAUCCCCUCCAAGGUACCAAAGCACAGCCCAGCGACGCGGGGACCGAGUCCGUGAGCCUGGGAAGCAGCCACCGAGGGCAAGCCGCGCGCCUUACCUGCUAGCAAGAGGCUGUCUGAACAGCAUCUUUUCUGAUUGUUUGGGUUCCCUACAUGACACCUUGCUUCAGGCUCGCCAGUGUCCUCUGAGGCAGACACACUCUGAAAGUGCUGGAGGACCCUCGGGAAGGAACACUUCGGGCAGAGCCCAGGACUGGCCCUGGGGUACCCCCGACAUCUCCGUGGGGCUCGCAGGGACACUCUUGGCCAAAAGACAGCUUCUGAACUGAGCCAUUAGUUCGCAAGACACAAUUCCCUUUGCUGGCUAAUCAAAAUGCUUUCUGAAGAAAAGCAAAUUAAUGAUACCACAGCUCCAUUUUUUGUUGUUCUGUUCUGAAACGCCAUCAAUAACUAUAAAGUCUUCCCUAUGCCGAACACUAGGCCCCAGCCAGGCUGUUUCUUUCUAUUCCUUGCCCUCCAACACCCUGCAACGCACACAUCCCAUCCGUUUAGAGGGAAUACAGGGGCAUGGUUAAGCCUAAGUGAACUAAUAUGGGCGAUCAGGGAAGUACAGGCUGGUAUUUUAUGUAUUUUUUGGAGGGAGGGGGGUUGGCAGUGGUUAGUUUGAAAAAUUGGCGCUGUGUAUAUUAUCUGAGAGAUCAUAUUCAUCAGCUAAGGUCUGAUUCACAGACAAAAUGUUCCCCUCUUUUCUGUCUUCUUAUUUUUUUUCUUACUUUCUGCCUGUCUUUUAUUUUUUCUAAAUUUUGCAAUUCAUAAAAUCAAAAGAAAAGCCAUUCUGCAAAAGGUAGAAUGGAAUAAAGGGUCAAAGAUCCCGCCUGUCCCAUCCCGACUCUCCCUCUCGCACUCCUUCCUUUUGCCUCCAACACGGCUGUGCUGACAGGGGUUCACCCUACUUUCCUUCACUUUUUUUCUCACUGACAUUGCCAAAGCCCGAGAAUACCCCGAAAAGAGGACAGACUUUUCCCUUCAGCUCAUUUUCAUAAGAAACACGAUAAAUAAUACAUGGCACUUUAAUAAGACCUUAUCUGAAUGGUUUAAUGAAAAACAAAUACAUUACAUAAGGAACCCAUAACUGCUCUCAGAUGCCCUGAGCCAACUCUGGUUUUCCAGUCUGUUUUCUCCCCAAAGUUGAAAGUGCUCAGUGCUGAUUGGAUUCCUACAGACCCAUUUUGCAUAAUGGCUCAGACUUCCCCUUAAACUUGGGUCUUCACAGUCAGGCACAUUGGGAGUCUGCAAAGUGAGACAAUGGGAUCCAGAGCUUCUAAAUGCACGUCACAAUGAUUUGGGGCUACACUCUGUUCCCUGGACAGCUACAUCCCCACAUCCCCACACAAGUGUCGUUACGCACAGAGACAAGUACGCACCUAUCCGCAAGAUACCUGCUUACAGGACCGGUAGGAAAGCUUUUACAGGGCUGACUAUCAGUGCACAUCAAUCAGGAACAGAACACUUGAUGACCCCAGAUGAAAUGGUGACACCCUAGCUGCCACUGUUGCUCACUCAAUGCCAAAACUCAGCCAGGCUUUUAAGCAGCAUCUGAGAUGGAAUUUAAAUUUCAUCU
This is a long non-coding RNA of Phyllostomus discolor (pale spear-nosed bat), 12125 nucleotides long. RefSeq lists it as uncharacterized. Lineage: Eukaryota; Metazoa; Chordata; Mammalia; Chiroptera; Phyllostomidae. The record is from RefSeq and is a predicted model, not a curated record. The transcript is spliced from 2 exons.